This 1232-nucleotide ribosomal RNA is filed under the name Microbacterium sp. RNAcentral's name for it is "bacterial SSU rRNA". It matches the Rfam family "Bacterial small subunit ribosomal RNA", at positions 295 to 1533 of the family's 1533-position model. The record is from RNAcentral. Lineage: Bacteria; Bacillati; Actinomycetota; Actinomycetes; Micrococcales; Microbacteriaceae.
AGAGGAUGAUCAGCCACACUGGGACUGAGACACGGCCCAGACUCCUACGGGAGGCAGCAGUGGGGAAUAUUGCACAAUGGGCGAAAGCCUGAUGCAGCAACGCCGCGUGAGGGACGACGGCCUUCGGGUUGUAAACCUCUUUUAGCAGGAAAGAAGCGAAAGUGACGGUACCUGCAGAAAAAGCGCCGGCUAACUACGUGCCAGCAGCCGCGGUAAUACGUAGGGCGCAAGCGUUAUCCGGAAUUAUUGGGCGUAAAGAGCUCGUAGGCGGUCUGUCGCGUCUGCUGUGAAAACCCGAGGCUCAACCUCGGGCCUGCAGUGGGUACGGGCAGACUAGAGUGCGGUAGGGGAGAUUGGAAUUCCUGGUGUAGCGGUGGAAUGCGCAGAUAUCAGGAGGAACACCGAUGGCGAAGGCAGAUCUCUGGGCCGUAACUGACGCUGAGGAGCGAAAGGGUGGGGAGCAAACAGGCUUAGAUACCCUGGUAGUCCACCCCGUAAACGUUGGGAACUAGUUGUGGGGUCCAUUCCACGGAUUCCGUGACGCAGCUAACGCAUUAAGUUCCCCGCCUGGGGAGUACGGCCGCAAGGCUAAAACUCAAAGGAAUUGACGGGGACCCGCACAAGCGGCGGAGCAUGCGGAUUAAUUCGAUGCAACGCGAAGAACCUUACCAAGGCUUGACAUAUACGAGAACGGGCCAGAAAUGGUCAACUCUUUGGACACUCGUAAACAGGUGGUGCAUGGUUGUCGUCAGCUCGUGUCGUGAGAUGUUGGGUUAAGUCCCGCAACGAGCGCAACCCUCGUUCUAUGUUGCCAGCACGUAAUGGUGGGAACUCAUGGGAUACUGCCGGGGUCAACUCGGAGGAAGGUGGGGAUGACGUCAAAUCAUCAUGCCCCUUAUGUCUUGGGCUUCACGCAUGCUACAAUGGCCGGUACAAAGGGCUGCAAUACCGCGAGGUGGAGCGAAUCCCAAAAAGCCGGUCCCAGUUCGGAUUGAGGUCUGCAACUCGACCUCAUGAAGUCGGAGUCGCUAGUAAUCGCAGAUCAGCAACGCUGCGGUGAAUACGUUCCCGGGUCUUGUACACACCGCCCGUCAAGUCAUGAAAGUCGGUAACACCUGAAGCCGGUGGCCCAACCCUUGUGGAGGGAGCCGUCGAAGGUGGGAUCGGUAAUUAGGACUAAGUCGUAACAAGGUAGCCGUACCGGAAGGUGCGGCUGGAUCACCUCCUUUCUA